ACAUUAGAGUUACCAAAGUGCGACGUAGUCGCAACAGUUGGGAAGCUGUGCCAUAGAGGGUGAAAGCCCCGUAGACGAAACGUCACACUCUCUGUUCAGGAUCCUGAGUACGGCGGGACACGUGAAACCCCGUCGGAACCCGCGAGGACCAUCUCGCAAGGCUAAAUACUCCCUAGUGACCGAUAGUGAACCAGUACCGUGAGGGAAAGGUGAAAAGCACCCCGGAAGGGGAGUGAAAUAGUUCCUGAAACCA
RNAcentral lists this ribosomal RNA (253 nucleotides) under Limosilactobacillus reuteri. Its description in RNAcentral is "Lactobacillus reuteri partial 23S ribosomal RNA". It matches the Rfam family "Bacterial large subunit ribosomal RNA", at positions 305 to 557 of the family's 2925-position model. Lineage: Bacteria; Bacillati; Bacillota; Bacilli; Lactobacillales; Lactobacillaceae. The record is from RNAcentral.